This 435-nucleotide long non-coding RNA is filed under the name Mytilus galloprovincialis (Mediterranean mussel). Lineage: Eukaryota; Metazoa; Mollusca; Bivalvia; Mytilida; Mytilidae. The record is from RNAcentral.
GUUGAUCUUUGGUCAAAAAGACAUUGUACUUGUAUUCUGUUCUUCAUUUUGGCAGGACAUUGGGCAUGAAUUGAUGUUCUUCAUUUGGAAAGGCAUUGUUCUUGAAUUUGUGGUCUUCCUUUGGAAAUUCAUUGUUCAUGUAUUGAUGUUCUUCAUUUGACAGGAAAUUGUGCUUGAUUUGCUGAUUUUUAUGCAGAAAGACAUUGUAUUUGUAUUCUGUUCUUCGUUUGGAAAUGCAUUGUUCUUGUAUUGAUGUUCUUCAUUUGACAGGACAUUGGGCAUGAAUUGCUGUACUUCAUCCAGAAAGACAUGGUGCUUGAAUGUUUGUUCUCUAUUUGGAAGAGCAUUAUGCUUGAACGUGUAUUCUACAUUUGGAAAUGCAUUGUUCUUGUAUUGCGGUUCUACAUUUGGCUCUUCAAUGGGCAUGAAUUGCUG